RNAcentral lists this small RNA (455 nucleotides) under Caenorhabditis elegans. RNAcentral describes it as "Unclassified non-coding RNA Y95B8A.22". The record is from RNAcentral. Lineage: Eukaryota; Metazoa; Nematoda; Chromadorea; Rhabditida; Rhabditidae.
GGGUGCCGAACAAGCUCUGCGUGUCCUUGAAUUCAACAAUACGGAACACUUUCUUGUGAUCAAUUUUUGGAUGAGAAGCUACUAUUUCAUGAAAAACGGUGAUAAAUAUCAGCUGUCAUACACCGGAACCACCAUCAAACCCGAUUUGAAUCACUUUAUUCGGUUAGCAGGCUUGGAGAUGCAAUAUCGCUCCAUCGCAACCAUUUUUUCAGCGUAUACUUCAUCUGCGCUCCAGCGAACAGUCAGAGUGCGUUGAUCGUGUUUGGGGAUCAGUCGAAACCGCGAGUUUUAAAGUCGAAAAAAUCGAAGAGGGAAGCAGCGCUGAUUGAUGAGAAUUCGGGGAAGAAGCUGAAAAAGUGCCAGAAAAUUCGGACGAAAAGAGCGGCGGCGGUGAAUAACUCGACGGAGUGGACACAGACGCUGAAGGAUACUCGGAGACUUAAACAACGUAGCGA